RNAcentral lists this ribosomal RNA (497 nucleotides) under uncultured bacterium. Its description in RNAcentral is "partial 16S ribosomal RNA". It matches the Rfam family "Bacterial small subunit ribosomal RNA", at positions 28 to 507 of the family's 1533-position model. The record is from RNAcentral.
GAUGAACGCUGGCGGCGUGCCUAAUACAUGCAAGUCGAGCGAACAGACGAGGAGCUUGCUCCUCUGACGUUAGCGGCGGACGGGUGAGUAACACGUGGAUAACCUACCUAUAAGACUGGGAUAACUUCGGGAAACCGGAGCUAAUACCGGAUAAUAUAUUGAACCGCAUGGUUCAAUAGUGAAAGACGGUUUUGCUUUCACUUAUAGAUGGAUCCGCGCCGCAUUAGCUAGUUGGUAAGGUAACAGCUUACCAAGGCAACGAUGCGUAGCCGACCUGAGAGGGUGAUCGGCCACACUGGAACUGAGACACGGUCCAGACUCCUACGGGAGGCAGCAGUAGGGAAUCUUCCGCAAUGGGCGAAAGCCUGACGGAGCAACGCCGCGUGAGUGAUGAAGGUCUUCGGAUCGUAAAACUCUGUUAUUAGGGAAGAACAAAUGUGUAAGUAACUAUGCACGUCUUGACGGUACCUAAUCAGAAAGCCACGGCUAACUACGUG